RNAcentral lists this long non-coding RNA (2001 nucleotides) under Bos indicus x Bos taurus (hybrid cattle). Its description in RNAcentral is "lncRNA (ENSBIXG00000016739.1)". Lineage: Eukaryota; Metazoa; Chordata; Mammalia; Artiodactyla; Bovidae. The record is from RNAcentral.
UCUGUUCCUCUCUGUGCACCAGGUGCCUGAGCUUAAACCUGGAAGAACCAUCUACCUCCAUUUUCACCCCUUCACCUGUUAAGGUAGGAAGUUGGGCUCAGCAAACCCUCCCAGCACCAUGGGGGCUGCAAACUCUCUGGCUGAGAAUGUCCAGCUGGUGGUCAGCCCCUCUCCUGUGUGGAAUUUUCUCCCCUACCCCCUUUCAACACCCACUUCUAGCACCUUCUGAAACCAGUCAUACUCUUAAACUAAGGCACUUGGCCCCCAAGAAUUUCCAGCUCCCUGAAGCUCAUCCGCUCCCCCAGGCAGGAGUCUCAGGUUUUCCUCUGGCUAGCACGGCCCACCUCCCCAGGGUCUUUUGUAACUUUUGCACAGCCUAUCCCUUGCUCUCCAUACAAACUUCCAUACCCUCUCUGGGACCUUGUUUUUUCUGCUCCUUGUUGCCCAGGGCACUCCAUCUCUGAUGGUUGAAAUGCCGCUCAGUCCAAAUCCGUCCUCCACUGAGCUUUUCCCAUUGGCUCCAGCUGGAACAGUAUAUGUAUUUUUAAACUUUCAAAUCUCUCUCUUUUUUGUUCUUCUGAUUUUGCGUAUUUCAGUUAUGCUUUAGCACCUUAAGGAAAACAUCUCACCCCCACAAUGACUAAGCAGCUGAGAAAAUGGAAAGAACACGGCUUCUCUCUAUACCUCUGUGCUCUCAUCUGGAAAAUGGAGAUAAACAUGAGAGCUCUUUUAUUUGGAGAUCUAAGCCACACAAAACCAGAAGAAGAGGAUGGCUGGCCCACUGGGGCACAGGGCCCGGCACAGAGGCCUUCAGACAGCAGGGCUGUGUUUCUUACCGCCUCCUCCUGCUCCAGGCCCUCCCCGAGGCCAAGGUCUGUGGGACCCGUGGGAGAGGCUGGUGGGGUGGGAAUGUCUGCAUCCCAGACAUAGAUGAGGCUGCGGCUCUGGAUUUCUUAGAGGGCGGUGGUUUCCCCUGCAUCCUUUCGUGCCUUAGGUUUUGAAAGGGAGGCUUACGCUGCACUCAAGUUUCCUGCAACUGCAGUUUAACUCAGCGCAGGGUGACAGCUUGGAAGAGUGAGACCCUGGGCUGGCAUGGAGGGUGAAUCGAGGGCCUUGAUUCUAACAUGAGGAAUGUAAUGAAGAGGUACCAAGAACUGAGAUAUGGGGUCUAGCUUGGCAUCCUAGCUCUGCUCCUCACGGGCUCUGGGAUGUUUCCUCUCUGAACCUCUUUUCUGUGUCUGAAAAGUGAAGGGUGAUGGUUUCUCCUGGGGAGGGGUGGAGACAGGGUUUCCUGUCAGGUAAGCUUGGGGAGCUGGGUUUUGUCUUUUACCGCACUGAAGUCCUGUGUCUAGAACAGUGCCUGGCCUGUGGUAAGCACACAACAAAUGCCUAUUAGUGGAAGGCAAUACAGGCAUGCCUGGUUUUAUUAUGGUUUGCAGAUACUGCUUUUUUUUUACAAAUUGAAGAUUUGUGGCAACUUUGCAUUUUCAGGUUUGGCAAUUUUUUAGCACUACAGUUUUAAUUUUUUUUCUAAUUGUGAUAAAAGUCACAUAAUAUAAAACCUGCUAUUUUAGCCGUAUUUAAAUGUGCAGUUCAGAGUACUAAGUACAGUCACAUUUUUGUACAACUCUCAUCAUCCAUAGCAGUAAAGCGUGUUUCAAUCAAGUCACCUACAUUUUUAAAUAUAAUUUUAUUUCUCUAUUUUUGGCUGUACUGGAUCUGCAUUACUGUGCGAGCUUUCUCUAGUUACAGAGAGCAGGGCUCCUCUUGGUUGAGGUGCGCGGGCUUCUCACCGCGGUGGCUUCUCACAGGCUCCAGGUGCACAGGCUUCAGCAGUGGCAGUUCACUGACUCAGUUGUUCCGAGGCAGGUGGAGUCUUCCUGGACCAGGAAUCAAACGUGGUCCCCUGCAUUAGCAGGUGGAUUCUUAUCCAUUGUGCUCCCAGGGAAGUCCUGUGCUUUGUUUUUUAAACAUACAGCUACUGAACAAUUAAUACACUAC